UACGUAGGGGGCAAGCGUUGUCCGGAAUCACUGGGCGUAAAGCGCACGUAGGCGGAUUGCUAAGUCAGGGGUGAAAUCCUGGAGCUCAACUCCAGAACUGCCUUUGAUACUGGCGACCUUGAGUCCGGGAGAGGUGAGUGGAACUGCGAGUGUAGAGGUGAAAUUCGUAGAUAUUGGGAAGAACACCGGUGGCGAAGGCGGCUCUCUGGACCGAGACUGACGCUGAGGCGCGAAAGCGUGGGGAGCAAACAGG
RNAcentral lists this ribosomal RNA (253 nucleotides) under uncultured bacterium. Its description in RNAcentral is "partial 16S ribosomal RNA". It matches the Rfam family "Bacterial small subunit ribosomal RNA", at positions 524 to 776 of the family's 1533-position model. The record is from RNAcentral.